Molecule: ribosomal RNA, 427 nt
Filed under: uncultured bacterium
Lineage: Bacteria
Description: partial 16S ribosomal RNA
Rfam family: Bacterial small subunit ribosomal RNA
Source: RNAcentral
UGGGGAAUAUUGGACAAUGGGCGAAAGCCUGAUCCAGCCAUGCCGCGUGUGUGAAGAAGGUCUUCGGAUUGUAAAGCACUUUAAGUUGGGAGGAAGGGCAUUAACCUAAUACGUUAGUGUUUUGACGUUACCGACAGAAUAAGCACCGGCUAACUCUGUGCCAGCAGCCGCGGUAAUACAGAGGGUGCAAGCGUUAAUCGGAAUUACUGGGCGUAAAGCGCGCGUAGGUGGUUUGUUAAGUUGGAUGUGAAAUCCCCGGGCUCAACCUGGGAACUGCAUUCAAAACUGACUGACUAGAGUAUGGUAGAGGGUGGUGGAAUUUCCUGUGUAGCGGUGAAAUGCGUAGAUAUAGGGAGGAACACCAGUGGCGAAGGCGACCACCUGGACUAAUACUGACACUGAGGUGCGAAAGCGUGGGGAGCAAACA